UGCGUAGGCGGAAAAUUAAGUCAGUGGUGAAAUCCCUGCGCUUAACGUGGGCAUUGCAUUUGAAACUAUGUAGCUAGAGUUCUGUAGAGGGGGGUAGAAUUCCAGGUGUAGCGGUGAAAUGCGUAGAGAUCUGGAGGAAUACCGAUUGCGAAGGCAGCCCCCUGGACAGUGACUGACGCUCAUAUGCGAAAGCGUGGGGAUCAAACAGGAUUAGAUACCCCCGUA
This 225-nucleotide ribosomal RNA is filed under the name uncultured Thorsellia sp. RNAcentral describes it as "partial 16S ribosomal RNA". It matches the Rfam family "Bacterial small subunit ribosomal RNA", at positions 568 to 792 of the family's 1533-position model. Lineage: Bacteria; Pseudomonadati; Pseudomonadota; Gammaproteobacteria; Enterobacterales; Thorselliaceae. The record is from RNAcentral.